Molecule: long non-coding RNA, 481 nt
Filed under: Capsella rubella
Lineage: Eukaryota; Viridiplantae; Streptophyta; Magnoliopsida; Brassicales; Brassicaceae
Description: long non-coding RNA (CRUB_LNC003316)
Source: RNAcentral
UAAAAGACGUUGGCACUAAAACUAGACACUAAAGUUGGAACUAGAUAAAUAUAUGGAUAUAUAUAUAUAUAGAUAUAUUAUAUACUAGAUUUUGAGGUAUUAUUUAAUGUGUUGUCAUCUCGAAGUAAAAAGAGAAAAGCAACUAUGGGUUUCCAAAAAAAAUAAAGAAAAUAUAUAUUUAGUACUUUAGAUAAUAUAAUAAGCUUAGUCUGUCCAAAAAAAAAAACUAAUAAGUUUAUUAGUUUAAAUUUUAUUAAAUUAAUAUAGGCCCAAAGGAAAUUUUUUUUUUUUUUAUUGGAACUAAAUGUAGUGCAAAUGCACCUCUUGCACCGGGUGAUCAACGGCCAUUCCAUGAUAAAUACGUCCAUGAUCACUACCUUUGGAUAUCACCGACCCACACAUUUUUGUAUCUUUCGUAUAUAGAGAUUGAAACAUUAUUAUAUAGUCUUUCUCAACUUAAACAUCUCCUAUUGGACUUUGU